CUUGACCGCUGGCGGCAGGCCUAACACAUGCAAGUCGAACGAGUGGCGGACGGGUGAGUAAUGCUUGGGAAACUGACUGAUGGAGGGGGAUAACUACUGGAAACGGUAGCUAAUACCGCUUACCAUAGGAUGAGCCCAGAUGGGAUUAGCUAGUUGGUGGGGUAACGGCUCACCAAGGCGACGAUCCCUAGCUGGUCUGAGAGGAUGACCAGCCACACUGUGAGCGAGACACGGUCCAGACUCCUCCGGGAGGCAGCAGUGGGGAAUAUUGCGCAAGGGGGGCAAGCCUGAUGCAGCCAUGCCGGGUGAAUGAAGAAGGCCUUCGGGUUGUAAAGUUCUUUCGGAUAGGAGGCGUUACUCACAGAAGAAGCACCGGCUAACUCCGUGCCAGCAGCCGCGGUAAUUC
Molecule: ribosomal RNA, 406 nt
Filed under: uncultured bacterium
Lineage: Bacteria
Description: partial 16S ribosomal RNA
Rfam family: Bacterial small subunit ribosomal RNA
Source: RNAcentral